Molecule: unclassified non-coding RNA, 141 nt
Filed under: uncultured Hypocreales
Lineage: Eukaryota; Fungi; Ascomycota; Sordariomycetes; Hypocreales
Description: sequence contains ITS1
Source: RNAcentral
CCGAGUUUUUUUACUCAAAACCCUGCAAACAUACCUAGACGUGCUUCGGUGGCCGGCCCCGGGGGGUAUGAACCAACGGUCACCGACAGCAUUCAAAAUCUCUGUCAUUGUAUUCUGAGUGACAAAAAAAAAAAACAAUCA